RNAcentral lists this unclassified non-coding RNA (664 nucleotides) under Hevea brasiliensis (rubber tree). Lineage: Eukaryota; Viridiplantae; Streptophyta; Magnoliopsida; Malpighiales; Euphorbiaceae. The record is from RNAcentral.
GGAGGUCGAGAACGACCCCCUUCGGUGUUUGGAACAGCUGAAGGAGGUGGAGGCGGCUCUUCCUGUUGAGGAGGAGAUCGGACAGCUUCAGUGAUCGGCGGCCCCGAAGGUCGGGACGGGCCUCCUUGCGUCUCCCCUGGUUCAUGGCCAGGAGUUUGAAGUAGGGCCGAACGCUUCAUCUCCUUUAUUUUCCGGGAAAUCUCUCUCUCCUUCUUCCGCUUCCUGGAACCUUCACCACCCGCCAUACCUACACAAAAAAGAGGUCAGUGAGAUCGAUAAGGUCCAAAGAUCUGAGAAAUAGAAAAUACCGAUGCCAAGAUCAGAGAGCUGAAGCCCGCGCUUUUCGCCCGUGAUCAACUCCAUCGUCCAAUGAUGCAGCUCGGUAGUCACCGCAUCUAAACAGGAGUACUUUUGGGUGGCAGCUUGAUUCUUCAGCUCCAGCACUAUUAGGCUUUCCUCCUUGUUCAGGGUAAUACGCUUCGGAAUCAAGGGCCCCUGGUGCCACCAGCUACGGGGGAAGUCCUCGAAGCAGGUCGGAUUUUUGCUCCUCAGAAUGAAGAAGCGGUUCUUCCAAUUCUUAAGGGAGGAGGGCAGAUCGGUAAAGAGCCCACAAUGAGGCUUCGCCUGAAAAAACCAGUGCUCAUCGUCCUUUCGGCGAGUUAGC